This 228-nucleotide non-coding RNA is filed under the name Fructilactobacillus sanfranciscensis. RNAcentral describes it as "Lactobacillus sanfranciscensis T-box sequence". It matches the Rfam family "T-box leader". Rfam says of the family: Uncharged tRNA acts as the effector for transcription antitermination of genes in the T-box leader family. T-boxes are found upstream of many aminoacyl-tRNA synthetase genes and some amino acid biosynthetic genes usually in Gram-positive bacteria. The record is from RNAcentral. Lineage: Bacteria; Bacillati; Bacillota; Bacilli; Lactobacillales; Lactobacillaceae.
AACAAAACGUUAACUAGGAAGUAGUAAUUCAAAAGAGUGAUUCAGUGAGAUAUUGGUUGGUGCGAAAUAGCAUAAGCUCUUUUAAAUGAACGUCACCUAGAAGUUGUAUGCGAUCAAAACCAUACUGGGUGCUCCCAUUACAGAGCCAACGAUUCGAAGCUGGAUUGUGAGAGAUGUUAUCUUUUUGAUAGCAUAAAUAAGGUGGUACCGCGCAUAAGCGUCCUUUAG